CAUCCUGCAGGAAGUAGAGUUAGAUAUCAUCACAAUAAACGAGUGUCAGCAGAAGGUUUCUUUACCGCCAGACACAAACUCGGUUGUAUGUGCUCUGACUCUCUAUAAGGAUACCUGUCAGGGUGACAGCGGUGGUCCUCUUGUUGCGAAACUUUGUGACGGCACCUGGGCUCAAAUCGGAAUUGUCAGCUAUGGUUUCCAGUGUGCCGUCCCUGACAACCCUGGUGUGUACACCCGUGUGUCUGCUUUCGCUAGCUGGAUCUCAGAUAACACUGGAGGUAGCAGCUGUAGUUCUACCCUAACACUUAGCGCAGAGCUUGACAACCGUGCAAAAGAGAGGGAAGCAGUGAACGAAGCGAAAAAUGAAGUGGUUAGAAUUGGACAAGAUCUAGAUGGACUUGAAACUACACUGAACGCUGCAAGUGGAAGACGGCGUAGACGCAGAAAUCUCACUCUGCUGCAGGAAUUGGCAACUGCACU
Penaeus vannamei (Pacific white shrimp) is the source of this 480-nucleotide non-coding RNA. The record is from RefSeq and is a predicted model, not a curated record. Lineage: Eukaryota; Metazoa; Arthropoda; Malacostraca; Decapoda; Penaeidae.